Small nuclear RNA from Oryctolagus cuniculus (rabbit), 107 nucleotides. Lineage: Eukaryota; Metazoa; Chordata; Mammalia; Lagomorpha; Leporidae. The record is from Ensembl.
GUGCUCACUUCAACAGCACAUAGACUAAAAUUGGAAUGAGACACAGAUGAUUAACAUGUCUGCUGCACAAGGAUGACAUGCAAAUUCAUGAAUUGUUCCAUUAAAAA